UGGAAGUGGGUCAAUUGCUGGGUAGAUUGCAAUGGUGUAGGAAAUAAACGAAAAUUUCA
Molecule: small RNA, 59 nt
Filed under: Caenorhabditis elegans
Lineage: Eukaryota; Metazoa; Nematoda; Chromadorea; Rhabditida; Rhabditidae
Description: Unclassified non-coding RNA B0391.13
Source: RNAcentral